UAUUUAUCAGUGGCAGUGUUCACUAUAAAUG
Non-coding RNA from Cariama cristata (Red-legged seriema), 31 nucleotides. Lineage: Eukaryota; Metazoa; Chordata; Aves; Cariamiformes; Cariamidae. The record is from Rfam.